This 45-nucleotide non-coding RNA is filed under the name Schistosoma haematobium. The record is from RNAcentral. Lineage: Eukaryota; Metazoa; Platyhelminthes; Trematoda; Strigeidida; Schistosomatidae.
AUCCAACUGACGAGUCUUAAAUAGAACGAAACGCAUGUCCUGGAU